RNAcentral lists this unclassified non-coding RNA (395 nucleotides) under Hevea brasiliensis (rubber tree). Lineage: Eukaryota; Viridiplantae; Streptophyta; Magnoliopsida; Malpighiales; Euphorbiaceae. The record is from RNAcentral.
AUAAAUGUUUCGGAUGCUCAGGGUCUCUCCAGCACAAUACAUCCUCCGAUUGAUCGGUGCCCAUGACAUGGUAGUACAUUUCAUGAUUUAAAUUGAUGUUCGUCUCCGUCCCAGCAUCCAGUUCACCCCCUUCCUUGGGCGCCGGGUACCGGCAGUAAAAAAACCCCUUCUCAUCAUGCGUCCAACUAAUCCCCGAAAACUUAACCCAUGAGAGAGUAUCUGGCUCCGGCUUCUUAUCCUCAACCCGCAUUACUUUGAUUGUCACCCAGUCACUCCCACUCGAACUAAGCCCGUACGCUAGAUACUUCCCCUCCUUGCUAACGGCUCCCGAGCUAAGCGCAACCGUCCCAUCCUCACUAAGCCCGUUCGGAUCAAGUAACACCUCAGCCUCCCCG